This 491-nucleotide ribosomal RNA is filed under the name uncultured bacterium. RNAcentral's name for it is "partial 16S ribosomal RNA". It matches the Rfam family "Bacterial small subunit ribosomal RNA", at positions 29 to 507 of the family's 1533-position model. The record is from RNAcentral.
GUGAACGCUGGCGGUAGGCCUAACACAUGCAAGUCGAACGACAGCACCGUAAGAGCUUGCUCUUACGGGUGGCGAGUGGCGGACGGGUGAGGAAUACAUCGGAAUCUACUUUUUCGUGGGGGAUAACGUAGGGAAACUUACGCUAAUACCGCAUACGACCUACGGGUGAAAGCAGGGGAUCUUCGGACCUUGCGCGAUUGAAUGAGCCGAUGUCGGAUUAGCUAGUUGGCGGGGUAAAGGCCCACCAAGGCGACGAUCCGUAGCUGGUCUGAGAGGAUGAUCAGCCACACUGGAACUGAGACACGGUCCAGACUCCUACGGGAGGCAGCAGUGGGGAAUAUUGGACAAUGGGCGCAAGCCUGAUCCAGCCAUACCGCGUGGGUGAAGAAGGCCUUCGGGUUGUAAAGCCCUUUUGUUGGGAAAGAAAAGCAGCAGGUUAAUACCCCGCUGUUCUGACGGUACCCAAAGAAUAAGCACCGGCUAACUUCGUG